RNAcentral lists this ribosomal RNA (260 nucleotides) under uncultured bacterium. Its description in RNAcentral is "partial 16S ribosomal RNA". It matches the Rfam family "Bacterial small subunit ribosomal RNA", at positions 94 to 354 of the family's 1533-position model. The record is from RNAcentral.
AGCGGCGGACGGGUGAGUAACGCGUGGGUAACCUGCCUUACACAGGGGGAUAACAGUUAGAAAUGACUGCUAAUACCGCAUAAGACCACAGUACUGCAUGGUACAGUGGUAAAAACUGAGGUGGUGUAAGAUGGACCCGCGUCUGAUUAGGUAGUUGGUGGGGUAACGGCCCACCAAGCCGACGAUCAGUAGCCGGCCUGAGAGGGUGGACGGCCACAUUGGGACUGAGACACGGCCCAGACUCCUACGGAAGGCAGCAG